GANAACGCUGGCGGCGUGCCUAACACAUGCAAGUCGAACGGGGUGAAGCCCUUCGGGGACUUCACUUAGUGGCGAACGGGUGAGUAACGCGUGAGGAACCUGCCUUUCAGUGGGGGACAACAGUUGGAAACGACUGCUAAUACCGCAUAACACUUUUUGGGGACAUCCCUGAAAAGUCAAAGCUUUAUGUGCUGAAAGAUGGCCUCGCGUCUGAUUAGCUGGUUGGCGGGGGUAAACGGCCCACCAAGGCGACGAUCAGUAGCCGGUCUGAGAGGAUGAACGGCCACAUUGGGACUGAGAUACGGCCCAGACUCCUACGGGAGGCAGCAGUGGGGAAUAUUGGGCAAUGGGGGAAACCCUGACCCAGCAACGCCGCGUGAAGGAAGAAGGCCCUCGGGUUGUAAACUUCUUUUGUCAGGGACGAGUAGAAGACGGUACCUGACGAAUAAGCCACGGCUAACUACGUG
RNAcentral lists this ribosomal RNA (467 nucleotides) under uncultured bacterium. RNAcentral's name for it is "bacterial SSU rRNA". It matches the Rfam family "Bacterial small subunit ribosomal RNA", at positions 32 to 507 of the family's 1533-position model. The record is from RNAcentral.